GACGAACGCUGGCGGCGUGCUUAACACAUGCAAGUCGAACGAGAAAGCCGCAAGGCAAGUAAAGUGGCGUACGGGUGAGUAACACGUGGAUGAUCUACCUUUUAGUGGGGAAUACCGUUGGGAAACCGACGACAAUACCGCAUAAUCCCCUUUUUUAAAGAAAAGCGGGGAAAGCCGAAAGGCGCUGAAAGAGGAGUCCGCGGUCGAUUAGGUAGUUGGCAGGGUAAAAGCCUACCAAGCCUGUGAUCGAUAGCCGGCCNGAGAGGGCACACGGCCACACUGGCACUGAAACACGGGCCAGACUCCUACGGGAGGCAGCAGUGGGGAAUCUUGCACAAUGGGGGAAACCCUGAUGCAGCGACGCCGCGUGAGCGAUGAAGCCCUUCGGGUGUAAAGCUCUUUCGUCGGGGAAGAUAAUGACGGGUACCGGAGAAGCAGCUGCGGCUAACUACAU
This 454-nucleotide ribosomal RNA is filed under the name uncultured bacterium. RNAcentral describes it as "bacterial SSU rRNA". It matches the Rfam family "Bacterial small subunit ribosomal RNA", at positions 28 to 506 of the family's 1533-position model. The record is from RNAcentral.